CCUACGGGUGGCAGCAGUGAGGAAUAUUGGUCAAUGGGCGGAAGCCUGAACCAGCCAAGUCGCGUGAGGGAUUAAGGCCCUGCGGGUCGUAAACCUCUUUUGCCGGGGAGCAGAGGUCCGGACGUGUCCGGGCCGGGAGAGUACCCGGAGAAAAAGCAUCGGCUAACUCCGUGCCAGCAGCCGCGGUAAUACGGAAGGCCCGAGCGUUAUCCGGAUUCAUUGGGCUUAAAGGGAGCGUAGGCGGGCGUUCAAGUCAGCUGGAAAAUCGCGCGGCUCAACCGCGCCCCGCAGUUGAAACUGGACGCCUUGAGUUCACAACAGGCAGGCGGAAUUCGUGGUGUAGCGGUGAAAUGCAUAGAUAUCACGAGGAACCCCGAUUGCGAAGGCAGCCUGCCGGGGUGCGACUGACGCUGAGGCUCGAAGGUGCGGGUAUCAAACAGGAUUAGAUACCCUAGUAGUC
This 460-nucleotide ribosomal RNA is filed under the name uncultured bacterium. Its description in RNAcentral is "partial 16S ribosomal RNA". It matches the Rfam family "Bacterial small subunit ribosomal RNA", at positions 338 to 795 of the family's 1533-position model. The record is from RNAcentral.